Molecule: ribosomal RNA, 269 nt
Filed under: uncultured bacterium
Lineage: Bacteria
Description: partial 16S ribosomal RNA
Rfam family: Bacterial small subunit ribosomal RNA
Source: RNAcentral
GUCCACGCCGUAAACGAUGAUAACUAGGUGUUGGGAGAUUUUACCCUUUCAGCGCCGCAGCUAACGCAUUAAGUUAUCCGCCUGGGGAGUACGGUCGCAAGACUAAAACUCAAAGGAAUUGACGGGGGCCCGCACAAGCGGUGGAGUAUGUGGUUCAAUUCGACGCAACGCGAAUAACCUUACCUGGGUUAGAAAUCAACCAGAAGCUCUGUAGAGAUAUGGAGCGUCCCCGCAAGGGGACUGGUUGACAGGUGCUGCAUGGCUGUCGU